Molecule: unclassified non-coding RNA, 177 nt
Filed under: uncultured fungus
Lineage: Eukaryota; Fungi
Description: sequence contains ITS1, 5.8S rRNA gene
Source: RNAcentral
CAGUGGUCUGACGACUUGACCAAACCAAACCGUGAACCCACCAUCAAAAAAAGGAUGCUUCGGCGGGUCGCUCGCUGGGGGAGCCCCGGGCCGCUUUGACGGUGGCCCGCCGGAAGCAUGUCGAACCAAAAAAUCUUUUUACAAAAACUUCUGAAAAACAACUUUUUAAAAGAAUUA